This 74-nucleotide transfer RNA is filed under the name Sphingobium phage Lacusarx. Its description in RNAcentral is "tRNA-Cys". It matches the Rfam family "tRNA". Rfam says of the family: Transfer RNA (tRNA) molecules are approximately 80 nucleotides in length. Their secondary structure includes four short double-helical elements and three loops (D, anti-codon, and T loops). Lineage: Duplodnaviria; Heunggongvirae; Uroviricota; Caudoviricetes. RNAcentral also lists the same sequence under 1 other name. The record is from RNAcentral.
GCCGCCUUGGCCGAGUGGCAAGGCUCCGGAUUGCAACCCCGGCAUCUCCCGUUCGAUCCGGGAAGGCGGCUCCA